RNAcentral lists this ribosomal RNA (497 nucleotides) under uncultured bacterium. Its description in RNAcentral is "partial 16S ribosomal RNA". It matches the Rfam family "Bacterial small subunit ribosomal RNA", at positions 28 to 507 of the family's 1533-position model. The record is from RNAcentral.
GAUGAACGCUGGCGGCGUGCCUAAUACAUGCAAGUAGAACGCUGAAGGAAGGAGCUUGCUCUUUCCGGAUGAGUUGCGAACGGGUGAGUAACGCGUAGGUAACCUGCCUGGUAGCGGGGGAUAACUAUUGGAAACGAUAGCUAAUACCGCAUAACAGUAGAUGUUGCAUGAUAUCUACUUAAAAGGUGCAAUUGCACCACUACCAGAUGGACCUGCGUUGUAUUAGCUAGUUGGUGAGGUAACGGCUCACCAAGGCGACGAUACAUAGCCGACCUGAGAGGGUGAUCGGCCACACGGGGACUGAGACACGGCCCAGACUCCUACGGGAGGCAGCGGUAGGGAAUCUUCGGCAAUGGACGGAAGUCUGACCGAGCAACGCCGCGUGAGUGAAGAAGGUUUUCGGAUCGUAAAGCUCUGUUGUAAGAGAAGAACGAGUGUGAGAGUGGAAAGUUCACACUGUGACGGUAUCUUACCAGAAAGGGACGGCUAACUACGUG